UUAUGUGUAGAGGUACAUAAGUGAGCAGGGAGAUUUAGAUCGCAGCAUAGAUAUCAGCUUCCGGAACCUUCCACAUAUUUUGGAGGCUCAUCAACAAGCGGUGGGCUUGCUCUGCUUCAGGGUGUUCAUGGCAUAAAAAGACUGUUCCAGGCUGAGAGGUUCUGUGUUACCUCUCACUUCUUGGACCAAUACUAGGGACAGUGCAGUCUUGGAUCCAUUUCACUGAGUCAAAGCUCCCCAGUCAGGAGCAGUUGGGGUGCCUCCGGUGCCUGUAACCUCCAUCGUCAUCAUGACAUUAUGUAUCUAUCAUUAAUGUUCCAGCUGAAGGCAUCCUCUUCCUCCCCCUCUUGUCGCUGCCAUGGCCUCUGCAGCUCAGGUUAUCAACUUUCCCAG
This is a long non-coding RNA of Sciurus carolinensis (gray squirrel), 393 nucleotides long. RefSeq lists it as uncharacterized. The transcript has 4 exons. Lineage: Eukaryota; Metazoa; Chordata; Mammalia; Rodentia; Sciuridae. The record is from RefSeq and is a predicted model, not a curated record.